RNAcentral lists this ribosomal RNA (468 nucleotides) under uncultured bacterium. RNAcentral's name for it is "partial 16S ribosomal RNA". It matches the Rfam family "Bacterial small subunit ribosomal RNA", at positions 28 to 507 of the family's 1533-position model. The record is from RNAcentral.
GACGAACGCUGGCGGCGUGCUUAACACAUGCAAGUCGAACGGAAAGGCCCUGCUUUUGUGGGGUGCUCGAGUGGCGAACGGGUGAGUAACACGUGAGUAACCUGCCCUUGACUUUGGGAUAACUUCAGGAAACUGGGGCUAAUACCGGAUAGGAGCUCCUGCUGCAUGGUGGGGGUUGGAAAGUUUCGGCGGUUGGGGAUGGACUCGCGGCUUAUCAGCUUGUUGGUGGGGUAGUGGCUUACCAAGGCUUUGACGGGUAGCCGGCCUGAGAGGGUGACCGGCCACAUGGGGACUGAGAUACGCCCCAGAAUCCUACGGGAGGCAGCAGUGGGGAAUAUUGCACAAUGGGCGAAAGCCUGAUGCAGCAACGCCGCGUGCGGGAUGACGGCCUUCGGGUUGUAAACCGCUUUCGCCUGUGACGAAGCGUGAGUGACGGUAAUGGGCAAAGAAGCACCGGCUAACUACGUG